RNAcentral lists this ribosomal RNA (227 nucleotides) under Clostridioides difficile. Its description in RNAcentral is "partial 23S ribosomal RNA". It matches the Rfam family "Bacterial large subunit ribosomal RNA", at positions 2172 to 2397 of the family's 2925-position model. Lineage: Bacteria; Bacillati; Bacillota; Clostridia; Peptostreptococcales; Peptostreptococcaceae. The record is from RNAcentral.
CAGUUUUGGCGGAGCCAUCCUUGGGAUACCACCCUUGUAGUACUGGGACUCUAACCAUAGGCCAUGAAUCUGGUCUUGGGACACUGUCAGGUGGGCAGUGUGACUGGGGCGGUCGCCUCCCAAAAGGUAACGGAGGCGCUCAAAGGUUCUCUCAGUACGGUCGGAAAUCGUACGUAGAGUGUAAAGGCAAAAGAGAGCUUGAUUGCAAGACAUACAGGUCGAGCAAG